Dreissena polymorpha is the source of this 2111-nucleotide RNA transcript. It is a transcript of the gene named interleukin 17-like protein, with no coding region annotated. The transcript has 2 exons. Lineage: Eukaryota; Metazoa; Mollusca; Bivalvia; Myida; Dreissenidae. The record is from RefSeq and is a predicted model, not a curated record.
AAGCAAGGAGAAGUAAAGUACCCGUACGGAUGGCGCAAUUUGAAUGGAUAAAAUAUAAACCAAAGAGGAACAUUGUGAUUUCAAACGGGUCAUUUGCAAGGUCACAUGACGUGUGCCUUUAUACAUGGUUGUUCAUUCAGAGUUGCAGGAUAUCGGAAAUAGUCGCCAUGGGGAAACACCUAGGGCUAGAAUAGGAGCAGUAUUGGGGAUAUAUAUAAUAACGCUAUUUAAAACAAGUGCUAGUCGUUUUAACGGUUGCGGCGCCUGUAGCCUCCUUUGGCUGCAAGGAACCAGACAACAAGAAAGCCGUAAAGAAAGAGCUCUACCAGGAAAUUUUCCAGGAGUAUAUGAGGGGAGAAAACUCCUUCAACAUCAUCUCGCAGUACCGGGAAAGCGUCCAAAAAGAGGUCCAAAGAACGAAAAAUAAUAAGCAAAUCAGCAAUCUAAAACCCGCAUCACAAUUUACCACGUUAAUCAGUGGCGAGACGAAGUGUCGGAAAAUCAACGCAGGGGCGGCGUGCCCUCAUCACAUCGUCAUGGACUACGACGAGGACCGGGAACCGCAGAUGUUGGCCAUGGCGCGUUGCUCAUGCGUAAGAUGUCGUGACCAUAUCAACGAGGCCACAAAAUGCAAACCUGUGAUGAACUAUAUACCCGUCAUACGACGGUCGUGCGAACGGCCACGAGGGGGCGUAAGACAGGGCGUAAAAGAAUACAGGUAUUUUAAGGAUCUACAGGCAGUGCCGGUAGGGUGCACAUGUGUGCAUCCACAGUCGCUGUAGUGCGGGAAAAGGGAAUAAGAGUGAAAUGUGUUAACGAUGAUUUAAGAUGUGUGCUAAAUCUAGUCUUCUAGGGGUAUAAUCACACACUCGAGAAAUUGAAAAGAAACAGCUAUGUUCCAUAAACGGCUGAAAGACACAAUCAAAUAACGUAGUGUUUGCACACGUGGGAUUUAUCCCCACGUGCACGUUUCCACGUGGUUCCAAUUACUGUGUUCAUACCCAUUUACUAUGAUACUCAGUGUUGUGGCCCCUUGACGAACCUUACUCAAUGCUAUUGUGAUAGUCAUUUGCAUUUUACGUGUACAACUUGUCUAUAACUUUAUAAAGUCUACGCAACACAAUAAUACACUUAGUAUCCUACUAAAGCAUGAAACAAUUUAAUUGUAUAGGUUGAUGCAAUCAACCGGGGGUCUCUUAUUAUUUCGAUUACCUUUUUUGGCAUUUUUUUUCUUCAAUCAUUGUCUGCUUUAGCUUAGGUAUUGCUGACGCACAGCCAUAACCGCUAUCUUUAGGUGGUUUCCAUUUUUUACCUCAAUAUAUUGAGGUUUAUUAUUAGUUCCGGGUCUAGCAUGUCAAUGUUCAGCGCUUUUCUUAUAUCAUAAUAGAUUUAUAUUGCUGGGCAUUGGCCUUACCUUGCUUCUACUUCCUGUUCGAGUUUUACUUCCUAUAUUUCAACUAGCGCUACGAGGGGGUCUGAACCUGUAAAAUAUUUAUUUAAACCGUGUUCGAUUUUUCACCCACUAGUCAGUUUUACAACGAUACCAUAGGGCUUUCAUAUGUUCCACAUUUAUGCAUUUAGAGGGCUGGUUGUGAAACUGAAGUAUGUGAUAUAGACAUAUUUAGCGGAUACACCAGUAUUAUUCUCAUAAUUUCAUUGACCUUUACAAUCAGUUUAACAAGGUCGCAUUUACACGUACUGUGAUUUGUUAUAUUUAUAGCCAAAGCGAAAUUGUCUCAUUCAUUUUUAAAUAUAAGUUUUCAUAAAGAUGACAUAUCAUCAUCACUAUGUAAAGGAUGGUUUGAAUUAUCAUGUAUGCAUAUAUUUUAACGUUUUUAAAACGUUGUUUUGUUUGUAACUACCUUAUUUGUCUGUUUAUAUUUGUUUGAUGUCUGCCUUGCAUAAAAUGCGCCUAUUCGACUUACCUGUAACCGAAUUAUUAUGUUUGUGUGCCGUACUUUAGAAAUCGUAAUUUAUUUGUUUGAAUGUUUUUGCUUGGAUAACAUAAUUAUAUUUAUUUUCAUCGAUGUUGUUUAUUUUACUUUUUUACGCGUGCUAAUUCUGUUAACUGAAGCAUUUGUAAUCAUUUUUAUACGUAUAUUACGUGUUGU